CCGUAAACGAUGAUCACUCGCUGUUGGCGAUACACAGUCAGCGGCUAAGCAAAAGCAUUUAAGUGAUCCACCUGGGGAGUACGGCCGCAAGGCUGAAACUCAAAGGAAUUGACGGGGGCCCGCACAAGCGGAGGAACAUGUGGUUUAAUUCGAUGAUACGCGAGGAACCUUACCUGGGCUUAAAUGUAGAGUGCAUGAGGUGGAAACACUUCUUUCCUUCGGGACUCUUUGCAAGGUGCUGCAUGGUUGUCGUCAGCUCGUGCCGUGAGGUGUCGGGUUAAGUCCCAUAACGAGCGCAACCCUUAUCGUUAGUUGCCAGCGGGUCAAGCCGGGGACUCUAACGAAACUGCCGGUGUAAACCGAGAGGAAGGUGGGGAUGACGUCAAAUCAGCACGGCCCUUAUGUCCAGGGCUACACACGUGUUACAAUGGCCGGUACAGAGGGCAGCUACCUGGAGACAGGAUGCGAAUCUCGAAAACCGGUCUCAGUUCGGAUCGGAGUCUGCAACUCGACUCCGUGAAGCUGGAUUCGCUAGUAAUCGCGCAUCAGCCAUGGCGCGGUGAAUACGUUCCCGGGCCUUGUACACACCGCCCGUCAAGCCAUGGAAGCUGGGGGUACCUGAAGUCCGUAACCGCAAGGAGCGGCCUAGGGUAAAACUAGUGACUGGGGCUAAGUCGUAACAAGGUAACCGUA
This 693-nucleotide ribosomal RNA is filed under the name uncultured bacterium. RNAcentral's name for it is "bacterial SSU rRNA". It matches the Rfam family "Bacterial small subunit ribosomal RNA", at positions 800 to 1504 of the family's 1533-position model. The record is from RNAcentral.